AGGCUGGAGUGCAGUGGCGCGAUCUCGGCUCACUGCAAGCUCUGCCUCCCGGGUUCACGCCAUUCAGGUGAUGAUGUUUUUUAUUUAUGUGCCCACCUGCCCCACUCCGUAGGGCCCCUCGAGGCCAGGACUGCACCGUUCAUCUCGGAAUUCGCUUGUUCCUAACUUAGGGGAGUGGCGCCGAGACACCGUGUAGCGCCCAUGCCAAGGAGGAAGCGAGACAGCAGGAGCGGAGGAAAGAACCCCGGGCUGUGUUGAGGAAGCCUCCUACUUUUGCCUGAAGUGAGCCACCCAGGACUUUGUGACCACAGCCCUAGCAAACGAAUACGCCGCAUUUCACAGGGCCCUACAGACAGGAGAUGGGAUCUAAGGGAAUUAACCUACUUGCAAGCAGAAAUGAAAGGGAAAGAGAAAAUCCAGAAAUGUUGGAUUUGCAGGAUUGAAAAAGGCAACUAUUCCUCAUCUCGGUCCAAUGAAAGAGCAACUAAGUGAGUGCUCCAGGCGCCCAGUGCCCAAAGGUCCAUAGUCCGUGGGAGGAUCCAGACACUGUCACGUGCAGGAGGCCACCUGUGCUGCAGGAGGCUGAGCUUGGGUGCUGUGCCCCCAGCUGGGAGAAGGCUGGGGUGGGCCAGGGAAGCUGUGCUUGGGCACGAACCACUUAUCCCCGAGUUGGAAAAAGGUGCGAUCCAAUUCUCCACCCCAUCCUGCCAGUUCAUCACCCAGACAACCUAGAGUGAGCACCCAGGGCCAUUUUUGGAAAAUCCUGCUCUUUUGCAUAAUAAGUGGGCAAAACAGACACAGUCCCUGCCCCUCUGGCAGUUUGUCGCUUCUGCAAGACUCAAGUGCCAAAUGACAUUUUAGAAAAAAUUUCUGACAUAUUUGUGCUUGGAACACACAAUAUGAUCUUGGAGCAGAUAA
Molecule: long non-coding RNA, 918 nt
Organism: Homo sapiens (human)
Lineage: Eukaryota; Metazoa; Chordata; Mammalia; Primates; Hominidae
Source: Ensembl